AUGUGCUUGCGGGAUAGGGAUCUUUGGCUCAUGCAGUGCCCACUGAUAUGCAACUGGGCGGUUGAGCUUCAAUUGCCACAUCGCGUGUAUCGUCAGUUUGGUCUGUUCCAGCCUCACCCGCCGGAUUGGGUGGACACGGACAAAGCACUUCAUAGGUUGGACAGGAGAAAGCAGCGGAAGAUAAAGGACUGGGACAAGCAUCAUGCUUCGUAUGUUACCCGCUUCCAUCUUUGUGUGGAGCAAGCUCGUAACAGUGCACGUGCCCAGCUUCGUGAGCAUAGCUCACUUGCUUUCGAUAACUACCUACGAUGGAUUCUUGAAAAUACUCGAGUUGAGAUAUGCCCGCCGGCAUACAAUGAGGGUAUUCUUGAAGAACCCAUAAACUUUAAGGAUCUAUCGAAGGGGAAGUACAACAAAGAUCGCAGCCAGAUCAAGAGAUCAGCUGAUGAAAGCCAGUCUAUUCUAGAGAAGACACUGGUUGGAGAAGGCAAUGAUGAAGGUCCACUACGGAAAUUUCUCAAGCGCCAGGCCCAGAAGUUAAGGCGGUUAUCGAACCUUCUCGGUUGCCGUGACCCAGAAUAUGAUGAACCAUCUGCCUCUAGGUCGGGUACACCAUCAGACCCCUUAUCUCACCAUGAGGGGGACGAUGUGAGUUCCUCACAUGCUUAUCUGGAUGAUGAGGGUGCGGUCACCCAAGAGGCUGAUGAGAUUGAUGAUGACAUUACUUUGGCGGACGCACAAGUUCGGUCCGCAUACAUGUUCAAGCGUAGGCAGCCCAUACGCCGGUAUACGCCCACCGACUUUGACAACAGAGGCAACACAAAGGUGGUCGCAGGGAGCUCACGGAUGGCGAGCUUGGAUAAUGAGGCAGAGGAGGAAGUGGAGGCAGAGGAGGCUCGUCCUGGCAGGAGGAAGAAGAUCGCCAGCAGGCGUGGCACCAGGAGCAUGCGCGCAAGGCAUUAG
RNAcentral lists this ribosomal RNA (963 nucleotides) under Triticum aestivum (bread wheat). RNAcentral's name for it is "partial small subunit ribosomal RNA". Lineage: Eukaryota; Viridiplantae; Streptophyta; Magnoliopsida; Poales; Poaceae. The record is from RNAcentral.